This 253-nucleotide ribosomal RNA is filed under the name uncultured bacterium. RNAcentral's name for it is "partial 16S ribosomal RNA". It matches the Rfam family "Bacterial small subunit ribosomal RNA", at positions 524 to 776 of the family's 1533-position model. The record is from RNAcentral.
UACGAAGGGGGCUAGCGUUGCUCGGAAUUACUGGGCGUAAAGCGCACGUAGGCGGAUUGUUAAGUCAGGGGUGAAAUCCUGGAGCUCAACUCCAGAACUGCCUUUGAUACUGGCGAUCUUGAGUUCGGGAGAGGUGAGUGGAACUGCGAGUGUAGAGGUGAAAUUCGUAGAUAUUCGCAAGAACACCAGUGGCGAAGGCGGCUCACUGGCCCGAUACUGACGCUGAGGUGCGAAAGCGUGGGGAGCAAACAGG